Molecule: ribosomal RNA, 497 nt
Filed under: uncultured bacterium
Lineage: Bacteria
Description: partial 16S ribosomal RNA
Rfam family: Bacterial small subunit ribosomal RNA
Source: RNAcentral
GAUGAACGCUGGCGGCGUGCCUAAUACAUGCAAGUCGAGCGAACGGACGAGAAGCUUGCUUCUCUGAUGUUAGCGGCGGACGGGUGAGUAACACGUGGAUAACCUACCUAUAAGACUGGGAUAACUUCGGGAACCCGGAUCUAACACCGGAUAAUAGUUUGAACCGCAUGGUUCAUAAGUGAAAGACGGUCUUGCUGUCACUUAUAGAUGGAUCCGCGCUGCAUUAGCUAGUUGGUAAGGUAACGGCUUACCAAGGCUACGAUGCAUAGCCGACCUGAGAGGGUGAUCGGCCACACUGGAACUGAGACACGGUCCAGACUCCUACGGGAGGCAGCAGUAGGGAAUCUUCCGCAAUGGGCGAAAGCCUGACGGAGCCACGCCGCGUGAGUGAUGAAGGUCUUCGGAUCGUAAAGCUCUGUUAUUAGGGAAGAACAUAUGUGUAAGUAACUGUGCCCAUCUUGACGGUACCUACUCAGAAAGCCACGGCUAACUACGUG